UACGGGGGGGAGCAAGCGUUGUUCGGAUUUACUGGGCGUAAAGGGCGCGUAGGCGGUCGUGACAAGUCACUUGUGAAAUCUCCGGGCUUAACUCGGAACGGUCAAGUGAUACUGUCGGACUAGAGUACAGAAGGGGCAACUGGAAUUCUCGGUGUAGCGGUGAAAUGCGUAGAUAUCGAGAGGAACACCUGCGGCGAAGGCGGGUUGCUGGGCUGAUACUGACGCUGAGGCGCGAAAGCGUGGGGGAGCAAACAGG
This 256-nucleotide ribosomal RNA is filed under the name uncultured bacterium. Its description in RNAcentral is "partial 16S ribosomal RNA". It matches the Rfam family "Bacterial small subunit ribosomal RNA", at positions 524 to 776 of the family's 1533-position model. The record is from RNAcentral.